Macaca mulatta (Rhesus monkey) is the source of this 102-nucleotide small nuclear RNA. Lineage: Eukaryota; Metazoa; Chordata; Mammalia; Primates; Cercopithecidae. The record is from Ensembl.
GCUCUCUUUGGCAGCGCAUAUACUAAAAUUGAAACAAUACAGAGAUUAGCAUGGCCCCUGCACAAGGAUGACAGGCAAAUUCAUGAACUGUUCCAUAGUAAA